RNAcentral lists this ribosomal RNA (253 nucleotides) under uncultured bacterium. RNAcentral describes it as "partial 16S ribosomal RNA". It matches the Rfam family "Bacterial small subunit ribosomal RNA", at positions 524 to 776 of the family's 1533-position model. The record is from RNAcentral.
UACAGAGGGUGCAAGCGUUGUUCGGAAUUAUUGGGCGUAAAGGGCGCGUAGGCGGUGUCGCAAGUCCGUGGUGAAAUCUCCAGGCUCAACUUGGAGUCUGCCACGGAAACUGCGGUGCUUGAGUGUGGGAGAGGUGCGUGGAAUUCCCGGUGUAGCGGUGAAAUGCGUAGAUAUCAGGAGGAACACCGGUGGUGUAGACGGCUUUCUGGACCGACACUGACGCUGAGACACGAAAGCGUGGGUAGCAAACAGG